UGUUUAGUUAAGUUAGAAAGGGCGCACGGUGGAUGCCUUGGCACUAGGAGCCGAUGAAGGACGGGACAAACACCGAUAUGCUUCGGGGAGCUGUAAGUAAGCGUUGAUCCGGAGAUUUCCGAAUGGGGGAACCCACUGUCCGUAAUGGGGCAGUAUCCAUACGUGAAUCCAUAGCGUAUGGAGGCAUACCCGGGGAACUGAAACAUCUAAGUACCCGGAGGAGAAGAAAGCAAAAGCGAUUCCCUGAGUAGCGGCGAGCGAAACGGGAACAGCCCAAACCAAGAGGCUUGCCUCUUGGGGUUGUA
RNAcentral lists this ribosomal RNA (305 nucleotides) under Anoxybacillus sp. KU2-6(11). Its description in RNAcentral is "bacterial LSU rRNA". It matches the Rfam family "Bacterial large subunit ribosomal RNA", at positions 1 to 302 of the family's 2925-position model. The record is from RNAcentral. Lineage: Bacteria; Bacillati; Bacillota; Bacilli; Caryophanales; Anoxybacillaceae.